This 1665-nucleotide long non-coding RNA is filed under the name Felis catus (domestic cat). Its description in RNAcentral is "lncRNA (ENSFCAG00000048043.1)". The record is from RNAcentral. Lineage: Eukaryota; Metazoa; Chordata; Mammalia; Carnivora; Felidae.
CCUGUGAACAUGAAUGAAGUUGAAGUGAUACAGAGCAACAGCUACCCUGAGAAUUAUGUCCCUCCUCCUAUCUCGCUGGCCAAGUUCAACCAGGCUAAUGGAGGCAUUCAGUGUGAUAUGAGCCAGUGGCAGGAUGCAGAGCUGGAGCAAUCCCCUGAGCAAAUGCUUUCCAAAGAUGAGUCAUGACUAGACUACAAACUAAGGGAUCACAGAGAAAGUCAAUCAGGAAUAGGAAAUUGAACACAAAUGAAGAAAAAAUGACCAUAAAUGAUGAGAUUGAGGAAGAGUAUCAUGAGAACUUCAAAAAGUGUGCCAAAAUUAAAAAGACUGUGAAAGGCAGAAAGCAGAAAACCCUGAGCAACUUCUCAAGUGGUAACAUAGUGUAUUUGUUGAAGAAAAUGCUGCCUCGAACACUGUUCUUCCCGAGGAUUCAGAAGACUGUGAGUUGGAAGAGGAAGUUGAAGAUGAAUGUAUGUGGUGGAAUGCCUCUUUGAAGAGGUUAGUCCACCAGACCCUGUGAAUUCCUUGAAAGGAAGGAUUUUUUGCAAGGCCAGCAGGAUAAUCAGGAUGCCACCUGAGUGGUCUCUCUCUCCUCAACUUAUCGUCUGGCCCACCAGAAAUAAGGACAGGUUAAAGCAUGUUGAAUAUGAGAGCAUCCCUAUGGUGUAUGAAGUGACAGGACAGGAUGGCAGGAUCCAAAGGGAACGUAUGAUGGCCAUGCAGAAGGGACUGGAGUCUAAGACAGCCUCUCACAAGUCAUGGGAAUGUAACUGUGAGAGAUGGAAAAGCAAGGUACCUUACAAAGUUUCAAACAGAUUCGAGGCAGAUGCUGUAAAGUUUAGGAAACAGCCAGCAGGUAUAGAGUUGGUAUCUAUCCUGUGUCCAGUUUUCCAAUGUCAUGAUUAGCUUUUAGGGCUUUGUUUGGGGUUUCCUACUCAGUGCAUGUUCUGUCCUCUAAAACUAACACUGCUUGUGGGCAAUGAAAAAUGGCAGCAUUCUAACUGGGUAGUAGACCUGUAUCUAUAUAGAUCCUUGCUCACAAGCAGAUUGGAGCCUAAGCCUUUUCAUUCUGUGGAGUGUCAUUUUUAUGUCAGUUUUCCACAUUUAAUUCACCAGUGCUGUUAUGGUAGUGUGUUGUAUGUUAUAUGGGAUUUUGUAAGUUAUCCUGCUGGUUCAAAGUGUCCCAGGUUAGAGCUAGUAGAGCUGGGCACUGGAAGUUCAGGAUCUCCCUUAAAAGUUCAGGAUCUCCCUUAAAGGUCUAGUAGUUUGACAGGCUUCUCUUCACACUGGGUCUUGGCAUUGAGUAUCCUGCCACACCUUCAACCCCUAGGCCUGGGGUGUCAGGGAGAAAGUGCUUAUUGGCUUUUUAAAUGGGCCAUUCCUGCCUUGCAGCGGUCAUAAAGUAAAGAUUGAUAAUCAUGCUCCAGCAAAAUGUUGAGACCUUUAACUUUAUCCUAAAGAUGAAAAUUAAAGAUAUUAGUAAUGAUUCUUUGUAUAAGAUAUCUUGAGUUUUACAGCUGAUUUAAGGAACUGUAUUAUUCUAUUAUUUUACAGGAAACAAAUACUGAGUUCCAGCUACAUAAAAGAAAUAUUGCAUCAUUAUGGUGGUUUAGAACAUGUGAUCAUCCAUUGAUUUAAUCUAAUAAAGCUGUUACACCAACAACA